CACGUAGGCGGAUCGAUCAGUCAGGGGUGAAAUCCCAGGGCUCAACCCUGGAACUGCCUUUGAUACUGUCGAUCUGGAGUAUGGAAGAGGUGAGUGGAAUUCCGAGUGUAGGGGUGAAAUUCGUAGAUAUUCGGAGGAACACCAGUGGCGAAGGCGGCUCACUGGCCCGAUACUGACGCUGAGGCACGAAAGCGUGGGAGCAAACA
RNAcentral lists this ribosomal RNA (206 nucleotides) under uncultured bacterium. RNAcentral describes it as "partial 16S ribosomal RNA". It matches the Rfam family "Bacterial small subunit ribosomal RNA", at positions 568 to 774 of the family's 1533-position model. The record is from RNAcentral.